This is a long non-coding RNA of Octodon degus (degu), 285 nucleotides long. RefSeq lists it as uncharacterized. NCBI's taxonomy places the organism in Eukaryota, Metazoa, Chordata, Mammalia, Rodentia, Octodontidae. The record is from RefSeq and is a predicted model, not a curated record. The transcript is spliced from 3 exons.
GUACAGUCUCAGCCUCUGUCCUUGGCAACUUCUCCUUAUAUGAGAUCCUCUGCAUCAUCCUGGGAAUCCUUCUUGUGCUGAUGCUCAUUAUCUUGGGAACGCAGCUGGGCAGAUGGAGAGCAGGACGUCAAGCCUUCACCACUGAAGAUGCUUUUGAUGAGGCCUUGUACCAAGAGAUAGAGUACCUUGUGAAGGCAGAGAAGACGGAUUUGCUGGACAAAGCAGGAACUGUAUCUGAUGACUCACAAGCAAAGCUGUUUUAUUACACAGGAGAAAAUGAGCAGG